AAAUGAAUUGACGGGGGCCCGCACAAGCGGAGGAACAUGUGGUUUAAUUCGAUGAUACGCGAGGAACCUUACCCGGGCUAGAACGCAGAGGGAAUAUACAGGAAACUGUAUAGCCGCCAGGCCGUCUGCGAGGUGCUGCAUGGUUGUCGUCAGCUCGUGCCGUGAGGUGUCGGCUUAAGUGCCAUAACGAGCGCAACCCUUAUUGUUAGUUGCCAGCGGGUAAUGCCGGGGACUCUAGCAAAACUGCCGGCGUAAGCUGUGAGGAAGGUGGGGAUGACGUCAAAUCAGCACGGCCCUUACGUCCGGGGCGACACACGUGUUACAAUGGGAGGUACAGAAGGUUGCUACCACGCGAGUGGAUGCCAAUCCAAAAAUCCUCUCUCAGUUCGGAUCGAAGUCUGCAACUCGACUUCGUGAAGCUGGAUUCGCUAGUAAUCGCGCAUCAGCCAUGGCGCGGUGAAUACGUUCCCGGGCCUUGCACACACCGCCCGU
RNAcentral lists this ribosomal RNA (492 nucleotides) under uncultured bacterium. RNAcentral's name for it is "bacterial SSU rRNA". It matches the Rfam family "Bacterial small subunit ribosomal RNA", at positions 903 to 1397 of the family's 1533-position model. The record is from RNAcentral.